AUUGAACGCUGGCGGCAUGCCUUACACAUGCAAGUCGAACGGCAGCACGGGUGCUUGCACCUGGUGGCGAGUGGCGAACGGGUGAGUAAUACAUCGGAACGUACCUUAUCGUGGGGGAUAACGCAGCGAAAGCUGUGCUAAUACCGCAUACGCCCUGAGGGGGAAAGCGGGGGAUCGAAAGACCUCGCGCGACUAGAGCGGCCGAUGCCUGAUUAGCUUGUUGGUGGGGUAAAAGCCCACCAAGGCGACGAUCAGUAGCUGGUCUGAGAGGACGAUCAGCCACACUGGGACUGAGACACGGCCCAGACUCCUACGGGAGGCAGCAGUGGGGAAUUUUGGACAAUGGGGGCAACCCUGAUCCAGCAAUGCCGCGUGAGUGAAGAAGGCCUUCGGGUUGUAAAGCUCUUUUGUCAGGGAAGAAACACCGGCUCUAACACAGUCCGGGAAUGACGGUACCUGAAGAAUAAGCACCGGCUAACUACGUGCCAGCAGCCGCGGUAA
Molecule: ribosomal RNA, 501 nt
Filed under: uncultured bacterium
Lineage: Bacteria
Description: partial 16S ribosomal RNA
Rfam family: Bacterial small subunit ribosomal RNA
Source: RNAcentral